Molecule: ribosomal RNA, 496 nt
Filed under: uncultured bacterium
Lineage: Bacteria
Description: partial 16S ribosomal RNA
Rfam family: Bacterial small subunit ribosomal RNA
Source: RNAcentral
GAUGAACGCUGGCGGCGUGCCUAAUACAUGCAAGUCGAGCGAACAGACGAGGAGCUUGCUCCUCUGACGUUAGCGGCGGACGGGUGAGUAACACGUGGAUAACCUACCUAUAAGACUGGGAUAACUUCGGGAAACCGGAGCUAAUACCGGAUAACAUGUUGAACCGCAUGGUUCAACAGUGAAAGACGGUCUUGCUGUCACUUAUAGAUGGAUCCGCGCCGCAUUAGCUAGUUGGUAAGGUAACGGCUUACCAAGGCAACGAUGCGUAGCCGACCUGAGAGGGGUAUCGGCCACAUGGGAACUGAGAACGGGUCCAGACCCCAAGGGGGGGAAGCGGUGGGGAAUUUUCCGAAAGGGGCGAAAGCCGGAGGGAGCAACGCCGGGGGAGUGAAGAAGGUCUUCGGAUUGUAAAACCCUGUUAUUGGGGAAGAAAAAAUGUGUAAGUAACUAUGCCCGUCUGGACGGUACCUAAUCAAAAAGCCCCGGCUAACUACGU